This 799-nucleotide ribosomal RNA is filed under the name uncultured Azonexus sp. Its description in RNAcentral is "bacterial SSU rRNA". It matches the Rfam family "Bacterial small subunit ribosomal RNA", at positions 28 to 823 of the family's 1533-position model. The record is from RNAcentral. Lineage: Bacteria; Pseudomonadati; Pseudomonadota; Betaproteobacteria; Rhodocyclales; Azonexaceae.
AUUGAACGCUGGCGGCAUGCCUUACACAUGCAAGUCGAACGGCAGCGCGGACUUCGGUCUGGCGGCGAGUGGCGAACGGGUGAGUAAUGCAUCGGAACGUGCCAUUGAGUGGGGGAUAACUAUCCGAAAGGAUAGCUAAUACCGCAUAUUCUGUGAGCAGGAAAGCAGGGGAUCGCAAGACCUUGCGCUCUUUGAGCGGCCGAUGUCAGAUUAGCUGGUUGGUGGGGUAACGGCCCACCAAGGCGACGAUCUGUAGCGGGUCUGAGAGGAUGAUCCGCCACACUGGGACUGAGACACGGCCCAGACUCCUACGGGAGGCAGCAGUGGGGAAUUUUGGACAAUGGGGGCAACCCUGAUCCAGCCAUGCCGCGUGAGUGAAGAAGGCCUUUGGGUUGUAAAGCUCUUUCGGCCGGGAAGAAAUCGUGCGGGCUAAUACCCUGCAUGGAUGACGGUACCGGACUAAGAAGCACCGGCUAACUACGUGCCAGCAGCCGCGGUAAUACGUAGGGUGCGAGCGUUAAUCGGAAUUACUGGGCGUAAAGCGUGCGCAGGCGGUUUUUUAAGACAGGCGUGAAAUCCCCGGGCUUAACCUGGGAACUGCGUUUGUGACUGGAAGGCUAGAGUAUGGCAGAGGGGGGUGGAAUUCCACGUGUAGCAGUGAAAUGCGUAGAGAUGUGGAGGAACACCGAUGGCGAAGGCAGCCCCCUGGGCCAAUACUGACGCUCAUGCACGAAAGCGUGGGGAGCAAACAGGAUUAGAUACCCUGUAGUCCACGCCCUAAACGAUGUCAACUAGGUGU